AACAAACGCUAGCCCACACCCCACAAAACGCAACUAACACACAAACAAUAAAACAAAACAUUUAUCCUAAUUAAAGUAUAGGAGAUAGAAAUUCUAAUAGGAGCUAUAGAGACAGUACCGCAAGGGAAAGAUGUAAGAAGAGUUAAAAGUAAAAAAUAGCAAAGAUUACCCCUUGUACCUUUUGCAUAAUGAUUUAACCAGAGCAACUUGACAAAGAGAACUUAAGCCAAGAAACCCGAAACCAGACGAGCUACCUGAAGACAGCUAUUAGAGCAAACUCAUCUAUGUGGCAAAAUAGUGAGAAGAUCUUCAGGUAGUGGUGAAAAGCCUAUCGAGCCUGGUGAUAGCUGGUUGUCCAGGACAGAAUUUCAGUUCAACUUUAAGUCAUGCCAGACAAAUUUAUAAUUAAAAUGUAGACUUAAAAUAUAUUCUAAAAGGGUACAGCCUUUUAGAGACAGGAUACAACCUUUAUUAGAGAGUAAGUACAAAAACUUUCAUAGUCGGCUUAAAAGCAGCCACCAAUUAAGAAAGCGUUCAAGCUCAACAACCAUAAUAAAAUCUAAUAUAAAUAAUAUACUACGAACCCCUAAUCCAAUACUGGACUAAUCUAUUAUACUAAUAGAAGCAAUACUGUUAAUAUGAGUAACAAGAACAAGUUUCUCCCCGCACAAACCUAUAUCAGAACGGAUAACCCACUGAUAGUUAACAGCAAGAUAAAUUAAACCUCACAAUCUAGUACUUUAUCAAAUUAACUGUUGGCCCGACACAGGAGUGCGCAAGGGAAAGAUUAAAAGAAGUAAAAGGAACUCGGCAAACACAAACCCCGCCUGUUUACCAAAAACAUCACCUCCAGCAUAUCAAUUAUUGGAGGCACUGCCUGCCCAGUGACAUCUGUUAAACGGCCGCGGUAUCCUGACCGUGCAAAGGUAGCAUAAUCAUUUGUUCUCUAAAUAAGGACUUGCAUGAAUGGCCACACGAGGGUUUUACUGUCUCUUACUUCCAAUCAGUGAAAUUGACCUUCCCGUGAAGAGGCGGGAAUACACAAAUAAGACGAGAAGACCCUAUGGAGCUUCAAUUAAUCAACCCACAAAUUAACAAAACACAAUUCCAAGGAAUACAAACCCCAUUUAAAUGGGUUGACAAUUUAGGUUGGGGUGACCUCGGAACACAAAAUAACUUCCGAGUGAUAAAAUUCUAGACUAACAAGUCAACAAACUAUAAUCAUUUAUUGAUCCAAAAUUUUUGAUCAACGGAACAAGUUACCCUAGGGAUAACAGCGCAAUCCUGUUUGAGAGUCCAUAUCGAUAACAGGGUUUACGACCUCGAUGUUGGAUCAGGACAUCCCAAUGGUGCAGCCGCUAUUAAUGGUUCGUUUGUUCAACGAUUAAAGUCCUACGUGAUCUGAGUUCAGACCGGAGCAAUCCA
This 1425-nucleotide ribosomal RNA is filed under the name Melonycteris melanops (black-bellied fruit bat). Its description in RNAcentral is "partial 16S ribosomal RNA". It matches the Rfam family "Bacterial large subunit ribosomal RNA", at positions 252 to 2628 of the family's 2925-position model. Lineage: Eukaryota; Metazoa; Chordata; Mammalia; Chiroptera; Pteropodidae. The record is from RNAcentral.